Hyla sarda is the source of this 792-nucleotide long non-coding RNA. RefSeq lists it as uncharacterized. The transcript has 4 exons. The record is from RefSeq and is a predicted model, not a curated record. Lineage: Eukaryota; Metazoa; Chordata; Amphibia; Anura; Hylidae.
CUUCCCCCUGCUUCUAUUCUCAGGACAUCGUUCUUUCAGACUGACCUGCUGUCAGAUUGUGAUCAGUGCAGGGGAAAGCAGGGAUCUCCCCCUCCCCCUCUGCUUCUUCUCGGGACAUUGGGACAUCGUUCUUGCUCUUAUAAACACUGAGCUGGCUGUCAGAUGCUUCCAUGCCGAGGAGAUGAAGACGCUUGCUCAGCUCACUGGGGCUUCUAUGAUUGGCUGAAGCUGCACAUGAGAGGUUCCCUUGCCGUGCACAGAGCUGGCUAAGCUGCAGAACUAUGGGAAAUUGUGACAUCACGGCCCCCAGCAUAAUGCAGCUCAAUGGGGGGGGGUCGCAAGUCAUCAGAACAGGGAGCUGCUGAACUUCCUCUCUGAACAAAGAAGCUAGAAAAACAGGUUUUACUUACAAGAUGGGUAAAGUUAGGGAAACAGAUGACAGCCUCUCUGACUUCCCACAUGCGACAAAGGAGUACAGUGCAUAAUAGCUUGUGCCAUUGUCCCCUUAUAGCCAACGGCCAUCGCCUGGAGUAUGUGCCCCGAGUCCGGUUCCAUCACUUUCCUGGAGUCAAGUAGGGGGCUUGGGCAGCUAAGAGUUAAUUCCCCCUCUCCUUUUUGGACCAGGGACCAGUUCCUCUCACGCAGAUCUCCAUCGUCGCUCAUCGCCCGCAGCCUCCGACCGAUGGGACGGCAAGUAGAUUGGCGGCUAGGACCUCACCGUACAACAUUAAUCACUUUUUCCAUCAUUAUUGUUGAAAUGAGGGUUCACCAGUCAGUCAGUCAGUCACGAAU